GGGGAUGUAGCUGAGUGGCAGAGCACUUGCCUAGCAAGCACAAGGUCCUGGGUUUGAUCCUCAGCAUCACAA
Molecule: transfer RNA, 72 nt
Filed under: Marmota marmota marmota (Alpine marmot)
Lineage: Eukaryota; Metazoa; Chordata; Mammalia; Rodentia; Sciuridae
Also listed under: 3 other names
Rfam family: tRNA
About the family: Transfer RNA (tRNA) molecules are approximately 80 nucleotides in length. Their secondary structure includes four short double-helical elements and three loops (D, anti-codon, and T loops). Further hydrogen bonds mediate the characteristic L-shaped molecular structure. tRNAs have two regions of fundamental functional importance: the anti-codon, which is responsible for specific mRNA codon recognition, and the 3' end, to which the tRNAs corresponding amino acid is attached (by aminoacyl-tRNA synthetases). tRNAs cope with the degeneracy of the genetic code in two manners: having more than one tRNA (with a specific anti-codon) for a particular amino acid; and 'wobble' base-pairing, i.e. permitting non-standard base-pairing at the 3rd anti-codon position.
Source: Rfam by way of RNAcentral